GGAAGAUUUGUUCUUUCCUUCUUCACAAUAAAUCUUGCAACUGCUGCUGCUGCUCACUGUUUGGGUCCCUGUGGCUCUUAUGAGCUGUAACACUCUCUGCGAAGGUCUGCAGCUUCACUCCUGAAGCCAGCGAGACCACAAACCCACCGGGAGGGACGAACAACUCCAGAUGGAAGGAACGAAAACCUCCAGACGCGCCGCCUUUAAGAGCUGUAACACCGUGAAGGUCUGCAGCUUCACUCCUGAAGCCAGCGAGACCACGAACCCACUAGAAGGAAGAAACUCCGGACACGUCCGAACAUCAGAAGGAACAAACUCUGGACACAUCAUCUUUAAGAACUGUAACACUCACCGCGAGGGUCCACGGCUUCAUUCCUGAAGUCAGCAAGACCAAGAACCCACGAAUUCCGGACACAGCAUCACACUUCCUGAUUUCAAAAUCUAUUACACAGCUACAGUAAUCAAAUCAGUAUGGAUCUGGCAUAAUGACAGACCUGUAAACAUAUAGACCAAUGGAACCAAAUAGCCCAGAAAUAAAUACACACAUCUAUGGUCAACUGAUUUUUCGGCAAGAAUGCCACGAAUACACAAUGGGGAAAGAAUAGUCUCUUCAAUAAAUAAAAGUGAGAAUCUGUAACUGCUGAUGGAGAAUGCUUGUCUCAUCUCCAGCCUGUGAUGUAGUGUAAGGAUGAGGGCCCCGUGACCUGGGAAGCUUGGGAUUCUGUGGAUGACUGAAGAAGUUUUUCACGAGAGGCAUUGAAAAAUCCAUUAAUUCUUUUUUUUUUUUUUUUUUUUU
This 796-nucleotide long non-coding RNA is filed under the name Homo sapiens (human). Its description in RNAcentral is "HSALNT0356286". Lineage: Eukaryota; Metazoa; Chordata; Mammalia; Primates; Hominidae. The record is from RNAcentral.